UACGAAGGGGGCUAGCGUUGCUCGGAAUCACUGGGCGUAAAGGGUGCGUAGGCGGGUCUUUUAAGUCAGGGGUGAAAUCCUGGAGCUCAACUCCAGAACUGCCUUUGAUACUGAGGAUCUUGAGUUCGGGAGAGGUGAGUGGAACUCCUAGUGUAGAGGUGGAAUUCGUAGAUAUUAGGAAGAACACCAGUGGCGAAGGCGGCUCACUGGCCCCGGUACUGACGCUGAGGUGCGAAAAGCGUGGGGGAGCAAACAGG
This 257-nucleotide ribosomal RNA is filed under the name uncultured bacterium. Its description in RNAcentral is "partial 16S ribosomal RNA". It matches the Rfam family "Bacterial small subunit ribosomal RNA", at positions 524 to 776 of the family's 1533-position model. The record is from RNAcentral.